CAAAUACUCCCUCCGUCCGAAAAUACAUGUCAUCGAAAUGGAUAAAAAUGUAUCUAGAACUAAAAUAUGUCUUGAUACAUCUCCUUUUAUCCAUUUUGAUGACAAGUAUUUCUGGACGAAAAGAGGGAGUAGAUA
This is a non-coding RNA of Triticum urartu, 135 nucleotides long. The record is from Rfam. Lineage: Eukaryota; Viridiplantae; Streptophyta; Magnoliopsida; Poales; Poaceae.